RNAcentral lists this ribosomal RNA (501 nucleotides) under uncultured bacterium. RNAcentral's name for it is "partial 16S ribosomal RNA". It matches the Rfam family "Bacterial small subunit ribosomal RNA", at positions 30 to 523 of the family's 1533-position model. The record is from RNAcentral.
AUUGAACGCUGGCGGCAUGCCUUACACAUGCAAGUCGAACGGCAGCACGGGUGCUUGCACCUGGUGGCGAGUGGCGAACGGGUGAGUAAUACAUCGGAACGUACCUUAUCGUGGGGGAUAACGAAGCGAAAGUUGUGCUAAUACCGCAUACGCCCUGAGGGGGAAAGCGGGGGAUCGCAAGACCUCGCGCGAUUAGAGCGGCCGAUGCCUGAUUAGCUAGUUUGUGGGGUAAAAGCCCACCAAGGCGACGAUCAGUAGCUGGGCUGAGAGGACGAUCAUCCACACGGUGACUGAGACACGGCCCAGACUCCUACGGGAGGCAGCAGUGGUGAAUUUUGGACAAUGGGUGCAACCCUGAUCCAGCAAUGCCGCGUGAGUGAAGAAGGCCUUCGGGUUGUAAAGCUCUUUUGUCAGGGAAGAAACACCGGCUCUAACACAGUCCGGGAAUGACGGUACCUGAAGAAUAAGCACCGGCUAACUACGUGCCAGCCGCCGCGGUAA